AUGAACGCUGACAGAAUGCUUCACACAUGCAAGUCUUUGGCGAAGCUGUGCUUGCACAGCCUAGCCAAGGCGGACGGGUGAGUAACGCGUAAGGAACUUGCCCUGCAGUCAGGGAUAACAGACGGAAACGACUGAUAAGACCUGGUAAAGUCAGGCGGACUCAUGUCCAGCCUGAUGAAAAGAGAUGCUGCAGGAGAGCCUUGCGUCCUAUUAGCUUGUUGGUGGGGUAACGGCCCACCAAGGCGAUGAUAGGUAGCCGGCCUGAGAGGGUGGACGGCCACAAGGGGACUGAGAUACGGCCCUUACUCCUACGGGAGGCAGCAGUGGGGAAUAUUGGACAAUGGGGGCAACCCUGAUCCAGCAAUUCUGUGUGCACGAUGAAGGUUUUCGGAUUGUAAAGUGCUUUCAGCAGGGAAGAAAAAAAUGACGGUACCUGCAGAAGAAGCGACGGCUAAAUACGUG
This 462-nucleotide ribosomal RNA is filed under the name uncultured bacterium. RNAcentral's name for it is "partial 16S ribosomal RNA". It matches the Rfam family "Bacterial small subunit ribosomal RNA", at positions 29 to 507 of the family's 1533-position model. The record is from RNAcentral.